RNAcentral lists this transfer RNA (78 nucleotides) under Minisyncoccota bacterium. RNAcentral describes it as "tRNA-Ile". It matches the Rfam family "tRNA". Rfam says of the family: Transfer RNA (tRNA) molecules are approximately 80 nucleotides in length. Their secondary structure includes four short double-helical elements and three loops (D, anti-codon, and T loops). Lineage: Bacteria; Bacillati; Minisyncoccota. The record is from RNAcentral.
AGGGCAGUAACUCAGUCCGGUAAGAGAGCUUGUCUGAUACACAAGAAGUCGAUGGUUCAAAUCCAUCCUGCCCUACCA